UACCAGAGUACUAUGAAUGAAUAAAAAUUUAAAACUCAAAGGACUUGGCGGUGUCUUAGACCAUUUAGGGGAACCUGUCUCGUAAUCGACAGUCCACGUUAUACCUGACCUUUCUUUGUAAAGCAGUUUGUAUACCGUUGUCGUCAGGUAACUUUUUAGAAAAAUGAAGUUAGCAAUAUAAAUAAAUUAUUUGGGACGUCAAAUCAAGGUGCAGCUAAUGGAAAGGAGAGGAUGGGUUACAAUUAUUUAAUUUAUAAUUUUACGGAUAUAGUUAUAGAAAAAUUCUAUGUAAGGAGGACUUAAAAGUAAAUUGAUAUAUAAAAACAAUUUGAAUGAGGCUCUGAGACGUGU
Molecule: ribosomal RNA, 351 nt
Filed under: Hastula albula
Lineage: Eukaryota; Metazoa; Mollusca; Gastropoda; Neogastropoda; Terebridae
Description: partial 12S ribosomal RNA
Source: RNAcentral